Molecule: transfer RNA, 72 nt
Organism: Xylona heveae TC161
Lineage: Eukaryota; Fungi; Ascomycota; Xylonomycetes; Xylonales; Xylonaceae
Rfam family: tRNA
About the family: Transfer RNA (tRNA) molecules are approximately 80 nucleotides in length. Their secondary structure includes four short double-helical elements and three loops (D, anti-codon, and T loops). Further hydrogen bonds mediate the characteristic L-shaped molecular structure. tRNAs have two regions of fundamental functional importance: the anti-codon, which is responsible for specific mRNA codon recognition, and the 3' end, to which the tRNAs corresponding amino acid is attached (by aminoacyl-tRNA synthetases). tRNAs cope with the degeneracy of the genetic code in two manners: having more than one tRNA (with a specific anti-codon) for a particular amino acid; and 'wobble' base-pairing, i.e. permitting non-standard base-pairing at the 3rd anti-codon position.
Source: Rfam
GGACCUAUGGCGCAACGGUAGCGCGUUCGACUCCAGAUCGAAAGGCUGUGUGUUCAAAUCACACUGGGUUCA